GUGUCAGCAGCCGCGGUAAUACGUAGGGCGCAAGCGUUGUCCGGAAUUAUUGGGCGUAAAGAGCUCGUAGGCGGCUUGUUGCGUCGGUUGUGAAAGCCCGGGGCUUAACCCCGGGUCUGCAGUCGAUACGGGCAGGCUAGAGUGUGGUAGGGGAGAUCGGAAUUCCUGGUGUAGCGGUGAAAUGCGCAGAUAUCAGGAGGAACACCGGUGGCGAAGGCGGAUCUCUGGGCCAUUACUGACGCUGAGGAGCGAAAGCGUGGGGAGCGAACAGGAUUAGAAACCCGAGUAGUCC
Molecule: ribosomal RNA, 292 nt
Filed under: uncultured bacterium
Lineage: Bacteria
Description: partial 16S ribosomal RNA
Rfam family: Bacterial small subunit ribosomal RNA
Source: RNAcentral